GCCGAGGUGGCGGAAUUGGCAGACGCAGCGGACUCAAAAUCCGCCGGGGUUCACCCCCCGUGGGGGUUCAAGUCCCCCCCUCGGUA
Molecule: transfer RNA, 86 nt
Filed under: bacterium
Lineage: Bacteria
Description: tRNA-Leu
Rfam family: tRNA
About the family: Transfer RNA (tRNA) molecules are approximately 80 nucleotides in length.
Source: RNAcentral